This 585-nucleotide long non-coding RNA is filed under the name Chinchilla lanigera (long-tailed chinchilla). Its description in RNAcentral is "lncRNA (ENSCLAG00000023973.1)". The record is from RNAcentral. Lineage: Eukaryota; Metazoa; Chordata; Mammalia; Rodentia; Chinchillidae.
CUUGGACUCAAAUGAGGUUCUCAGGCAGUCCUAUGUUGUCCCUUGCGAUGCCACUGGGCACUUGGCCUCCCUGAAGAAGCCACCAAAACCAGUGUGGGAAGUUCAGAAAUGGCUCCAGACAGGCAUUUCUACAGUCUCUUCCAGUUCCAUGUUCCUGGACUUUGCUGUCAGGUGUUCAGUCCAGGGGCACAAAGCAGGCUGUACCAUGUGACAUCAGGAAUUGCAGCGACCUCAGGCAACAAAACAAAGGAGAUGAGGAAAAGGCCCCCAGAUCUUUCAUGACAUAGUUGAGCUGCAGAACCAACAGUGUAACUGGAAUUCUUUUCAAGUAAAUUCCAAGCAUCCUUAUGGUUAAGACAUUGACAGUUCAAUUUUCCGUUACUUGCUGCUGAAAGCAUUUUUAACCUGCCUCCCCAUAAAUAUGACUCAUUUACAACAUCUGAAGUUUCUUUUAAUCUAAUGCUCUUUCAGCUUCAUCUCCCACUGGAAAUUCUUGAUAGUAUCCCUGUUGAAGUCUCCCAAGAGAAAGAAUGCAGUUGACCCAAUUCAUCUCUUUGAGCCAGGCCAGAUCGCAGGACGCUGGCC